Long non-coding RNA from Glycine soja, 1128 nucleotides. RefSeq lists it as uncharacterized. The record is from RefSeq and is a predicted model, not a curated record. The transcript has 2 exons. NCBI's taxonomy places the organism in Eukaryota, Viridiplantae, Streptophyta, Magnoliopsida, Fabales, Fabaceae.
UAUCUUUAUGGCAUUGUUGUAUGUGAAUCUUAUGAGUUUGGUUCAGUCUUAGUCAAAGAAUAAUUUGUCCUUCCUUAUUCCUUGGGGUUUUGAUAAUUGGCAUUUGACUUACCUUUCAUUUUAAUCAACCUACCAUCAGAUCAUUGUCCUGACUUUCAAAUUGGUACUACUUUUAAAUUUUGUUUGUAUGAGUUAUGAGUAGUUCUUGUGCAAAACAAUCAUUUAUUAUGUAUACAACUGCUGACUUAUUCUACAUUGAUAUGAUUUGUUUUUUGCUCCUUCCUUUUACUGUUUCCAUCGAUGAUUAAGAUACCCUCAGAAUAAGUGAGCCCAAUUCUAAUCUCAACAUAAAACAGGUGGAUUAUUUGUAUAACUAUCUAAAUAUUUAUAGAAGUGACUUACUUUGAAAAUUCUUUCUACAGUAGUAGUUUGGUUCUAUAAUAUGAAAAUUGGAUCUUAGUUACUUAAAACAAUCAUUUUCUGAUAGAACAGUAGGCUACUUUUAUGAAAAUGAAUGACACUUGAGACAAUGAAUAUCUUUAUACUUUAGUCCGAGGGCCAGCUUGAUUGAGAAGAUAGAGUGUGGGAAGGUGGAAAUUUGGGAAUGAAAAUCAUUUUCACUUGCUUGUAUAUUGAAAGUAUGAGAAUUCUGAAGAUUUAAUUGGUUGACGGUUGCAUGUUUUGUGCUUCUCUCAUUGUUUAUCAUAUUCUCAUCUGUGGUCCUUUUCCAUACUUGGUAGCAUGCUUUUCACAACCUUUUUCUCUGUCUCUCCUGCAGUUACUGGUUUGGGGUUUUGUUGUAGUGUAAACAAUGGAAUCGAUCACAUGAAAGUGUGAAAAAGUAACUACAGUUGCUGGAACGUCGCAUUGCAAACUGAAGGUCUUUGGGCUAUUGGGAGUGGAAAUAUGUACAAGAAAUUCGCUCUUGGAAAUGUAAUUGAACAUGCUGCGCAUGGGAGUAAAUUAGAUAUGGGACGUACCCCUUUAUAACUUUUCUGGUUGCCUGGUUGUUUUGUAUUCUUAAACUUGUUGGUGUAAGGAAAUGACACGAGACCUUUAUUUCCUAAAAUGUGCAUGUUCUACACACCAAGAAACCAACUAUAAGAUAUCCUUUUAUUGUUAUUGGUA